Molecule: long non-coding RNA, 3201 nt
Organism: Pantherophis guttatus
Lineage: Eukaryota; Metazoa; Chordata; Lepidosauria; Squamata; Colubridae
Source: RefSeq, a predicted model, not a curated record
GUUUCUUUGGCCCCAGAGUGUGUGUUUGAAAGAGAAGAGAAGGGUGGGGGGAGAGAGAGAGAGAGAGAGAGUGAGUUGUACCGGAGAUCUUGUUUUCGUCGCCGGCGCCUUCGCCGUUUUAGCGUUUCUUCCUUUCCCUUUUACAACGCCCACCGUAGCAGGCUUUUUUUUCUUUCUCUUGCACUUUGUAUUUAUUUUUCUUUAUUGUUUAUGACUUCAGAGGCAUCGAUCGAUCGUUAUUCUGGUUACGCUCAUCAAACGACACCAAGGGGACUCUUCUGGACAAACACACACACACACACACACACAUUCGCACACACGGCAGAUGUCUAGGGUAGAAGAUCACCCCUUUGUCCCUCCCCUCCCCUCCCUUCCCCUCGGCACCGCGUCGCAUCUAGGACAUAUCCAGCAGCGAUUCACACUGUGCUGUUUAGCAACCUCGGAGGCUAGUAGUGGCCAUUUCCUUUGUCUAGCAAUAGGGUUUAAAUUCCACUGAUAUUCCCCGUUCCCUAAAAAACGACAACAAGGCAGAGCGCCCCGAAAUCGCAAGGACUUUUCAGCGGCUCGCUUGCUUUCUUCGGCGCUCUUUUCUUUGCCCCUAUACAAAAGGGAGAUCAGUUAAGGGACAAAAAGCCCUAUUAAGGGGAUGGGUCUGGGUUGAUUGGCUUGCAUUGCGCUUCUGUGGUCCACAGCCAGACGUUUACACAAGGAGUUGUCUCGAAACUGCAACAUCUCUCUCCCCCCCCCCCGAACAGAGAUCUCUGUGAGGCCGAGUUUUCCCCCGCCCCCAACAGACUCCGCUCGGUUCUCUUCCUAAGCUUUUAAAACCCCACAGAAGGGGAGGGAGAGAAAACAAGCUCCCCCUCCGAAUGUUAGAAAAUGAGCUCACCCAAACCUCAGCAGGCAGCAGUGGAGGAGCCGUAGUCCAAUCAGGAUCUUUUCUGCGAAAGCCAGGCGAGCAUUAGUUGAGGGAGAAAUCAAUUAUCAAAUAAUCGAUCAGCAGGGAGCUUCGAUCUGCGGGGAAAGUCCUCGCGCGACCAAUCUUCCCAGCCUCGGCCAAGAGCGCCGGAGCUGGAGAAGGCAGCGGAAUUGUUCAUUUGUGGUCGUGCGUUAGAACUUACUCAGCGAGAUAAAUAAUACUAAUAAUUAAUAGUUAAUGAUGAGGAUGCUGAUGUCACCCUGUCUUCGGCCAAGGAAAACAGAAGGGGAAGAAUUGUAUAAAAGUUUCUCUCUUAUUUAACUCUUGAACAGGCUUAAACGCGUGAAGUCUGGCUUCAUCUCUUCACGAAGAGAGAACAAUCACCUAUAUUCUCAUUUUUCACUUCUGGCCUUUCUCUUACUUUUUAUAAAGAGAUUUCCUAUGGUACCAAAUAGUUCCAAUAAAGCAGUCUCGGGGACUGUGGGGUAUCUCGCUCAGGUCUGCCCGAGGCCUUCUUGAGCGAAGAGUAUUAAAACCAGCAAUCUGGCAAGGAGUCUCCAACGUCAAAGAGGCUGCUAGCCAGUGCAGAUAAUCAUAAAGCAAUCUGGCCUGAGUUUUGUUUUGCUAUUAUUGUUCCAAUACUUUAUUCGAACUAGAAUUAAUAAAAUCUGUAUCCUGGGAUCUAUAGUAAAGUUAUGGGGCACUUUUUCGUAUGCUUCGUCAAUAGAUUCAAAUAGAAAUAAAUCCCGGACAGUUUGGGCCAAACCUAUUUUAGACUGAAAGUGUAACCUCUACAGGAAGAAUUCGCCGUGGCGGCUACAGCAACAGCACUCUCUAACUUUAAGCUUAUCUCUUCUGCUUACUGCGAUUUAUGAUUUUUUUUUUGGCCAUAAAAUGUGUGUUUUAAAGGCUGAGGGAGGAGAUCAUGAUCCCCACCCCCCAAGUGAAAAGAUGUGAUGUGUAACGGAAACAAAUUAUUGCCUUUGUAUUAGCUGAUGAUGAAGAUACCUAAUAAAUCUGUUUUCUUUGCUCAUAAUAAGGUUUGGUAUUUGGAGAGAUUGCUUACUACUUUCUCUAGAAUAUAAAGUGCUCUUGGUAAGGCAACCUGAGGGCAAACGACAGCCAAGUUAGGCUUUUCGGGGAAAGAAAACCAGGACCUGGCAUUGACAAGAUCACUCCAAGAGGUGGAGGGCAUACCGCAAAAUCCAGCAGUCACUGAUCUAUUCUUGGGGUCAGACCGAUGUAGACCUGAGCCUGAAAGUGACUCUGGAGGAAUUCCUGGGUUCGGGUUGUCUUGGGUGUGUGUGUGUGUGUGUGUGUGUGUGUGUGAAGGAUUCCCCUAUAGCCGUGACAGAAGAGAAAGCUGCUGCUGCUGCUGCUGCUUUUACUAGCAAAUAUUAUUGUCCUUCCUUUACGUCCGUGGCAAGGAGUUUUAAACUUCCUUCCGAAAAAAACCGGCCCAGAGCAUAUCCCUCCGGCUCAUGUCCCGGGAAAAUACAAAUAGUUUUCCGAACUGCCUGCGGCGAAUGAAAUUUUCAUCAUCAUCAUCAUCAUCAUCAUCAUCAUCAUCAUCAUCAUCAUCGCCGCUAAGGCUCCCCAGUUUCAAUGUAUGGCUGUGAAAGUUGGACCAUAAGAAAGGCUGAGUGCCAAAGAAUUGAAGCCUUUGAACUAUGGUGCUGGAGAAGACUCCUGCGAGUCCCUUGGACUGCAAGGCGAUCAAACCGGUCAGUCCUAGAGGAGAUCAACCCUGACUGCUCUUUAGAAAGCCAGAUCCUGAAGAUGAAAUUCAAAUACUUUGGCCACCUCGGGAGAAGGAAGGACUCACUGGAGAAGAGCCUAAUGAUGGGAAAGAUUGCGGGCAAAAGAAGAAGGGGGCGGCAAAGAAUGAGGUGGCUGGAUGGAGUCACUGAAGCAGUAGGCGUGAGCGUCAAUGGACUCCAGAGGAUGGUAGAGGACAGGAAGGCCUGGAGGAAUGUUGUCCAUGGGGUCGUGAUGGAUUGGCCACGACUUUGCAACUAACAACAACAACAAAUCUUUCUAUAUUCACUUUAGUAAAUGCAAAUACUAAACUUGAAAUCUGUCAUUAGAUGACCUGUGCUUCUUAUUUUUCAGUUAUACUUAACUAAGGAACAUGGACUACAGUUAUUACUCCAGUGACAAGAAUAUUUCGCAUUCACAGAUACAUAUUUCUGUUUUAUCUCCUUCAAAAUGCAGCAAGACCUGAUAUGAACUGAUAGUUUGUUGCCCUAAUAAAUCCCAUGUUGUGGGUCAGUGUAUAGUUA